Trichonephila inaurata madagascariensis is the source of this 75-nucleotide non-coding RNA. The record is from the annotation of a GenBank genome assembly. NCBI's taxonomy places the organism in Eukaryota, Metazoa, Arthropoda, Arachnida, Araneae, Nephilidae.
GAAGGGAAAGCUCAGUGGUAGAGCAUUCGCUUGCAGAUCGAGUGGUCCCCGGAUCAAACUCGGGAGUUUUCUUCU